UGACAUUCGGUUAAAGAUAUUGUCGGAC
RNAcentral lists this small RNA (28 nucleotides) under Bombyx mori (domestic silkworm). Its description in RNAcentral is "ovarian small RNA-31474". Lineage: Eukaryota; Metazoa; Arthropoda; Insecta; Lepidoptera; Bombycidae. The record is from RNAcentral.